UGGGGAAUAUUGCACAAUGGGCGAAAGCCUGACGCAGCGACGCCGCGUGAGGGAAGAAGGCCUUCGGGUUGUAAACCUCUUUCAGGAGGGACGAAGCCACUCGGGUUAAUAGCCCAGAGGGUGACGGUACCUCCAGAAGAAGCCCCGGCUAACUACGUGCCAGCAGCCGCGGUAAUACGUAGGGGGCAAGCGUUGUCCGGAUUUAUUGGGCGUAAAGAGCGUGUAGGCGGCUUCACAAGUCCGCUGUGAAAACUCGAGGCUCAACCUCGAGCUGUCGGUGGAAACUGUGUGGCUAGAGUCCGGAAGAGGAGAGUGGAAUUCCCGGUGUAGCGGUGAAAUGCGCAGAUAUCGGGAAGAACACCCGUGGCGAAGGCGGCUCUCUGGGACGGUACUGACGCUGAGACGCGAAAGCGUGGGGAGCGAACAGGAUUAGAUACCCGGGUAGUCC
RNAcentral lists this ribosomal RNA (448 nucleotides) under uncultured bacterium. RNAcentral describes it as "bacterial SSU rRNA". It matches the Rfam family "Bacterial small subunit ribosomal RNA", at positions 355 to 796 of the family's 1533-position model. The record is from RNAcentral.